Sander lucioperca (pikeperch) is the source of this 1852-nucleotide long non-coding RNA. The record is from Ensembl. NCBI's taxonomy places the organism in Eukaryota, Metazoa, Chordata, Actinopteri, Perciformes, Percidae.
GGGUUUAGAAGAUGUAACACAGGGAAGACAGCAGCUUACACUCUGCUCUAUCACUACAUAUAGUCCUAUUAGACUUCUUCAGCAUAAACACCACAACACAACCUGGGUCUAACACACACAAGGUAACAGUCCUGUCACUGGAAAUAUCUCUACCACAAGCAGGAAUUAAACCCAUGCAAACACGUAACCACUGAGCUAACAACACAAGCAUGUGAGCCGUCAAGUCUUUUCUCAUUAACAGCUGACAGUCAAAGUAAAAGCAUACAACAAUAAUCAACUUUUAUGUAAUGUACAGUUAUAUUUAUAGUUUGCAUUAGCACUGGAAUGUGGAAAUGUUCAUGAAUACAAUGGCAAAGACAAACCUGCAGACGUCCAGCUCCCACGGACCGUGUCAACACCAGCUACCUGCAACCGUCUAUUUGCAGAAACACAAACAAAACCGAUAUAAAACGCCAUAUUCCUUCUCACAGCGAUUCAUACUUUUCGCCUAGCAUCAUUCCGGUGAAUGUGACCGCAGGCUCGUUUGUUUGUUCGCCCCCAAAACAGCCACAGUACCAACUGUACAGACGUUAGCAUAAGCUAGCUGUAAGUUAGCAACGGGACACAGGAACCGUGUGUUUGUUUGUGUAUCCGGCCUACGGCGAGUGGAUAGUGCCGCGGAUGAUCAUUGCCUAAGGACGGAGACUGCUGUGUGGCAUUCAGUCCUGCCUCUGACAUGUCGCAGAGUCGUCUUUGGGUCAAGGGUUAUCCCUCCUCCAAAGCGCCCUGAAGGAGGGUCUGGCUACUCCACACAACAUUCGGGGAUGGGAGGAAAACGUGUUCUGGUUUAAUGUGGGACUGAUAACGGACAACAAGGAGUCUGUUUUGUGGUGUUCUAACGACUUAAACACCACAAAAAAACAAAGGAAGCAAUUUUGGAUAUCAGAAGACCCAAGCACACCGAGCACUCUGCUCUCUACAUUCAUGGGGAGAAGAUGGAGAGAUCAGAGUAAGUUCCUCGGUGUGCACCUCUCGGCUGACCCCACCUGGACCAUAUCUGCUAUCAGGCUCCAUAGUGGUUGCAGGACUUGUGGGAACAUCCCUCACCUAUCUGGACGGUGGCAUCUUGGUGUUCUGGAUCCUGGGCUCAGACCUGACCUACACCAUUGUAUUCCCGCAACUGAUCUGCGUCCUCUUCAUCAAGGUUUCCAACGGUUACGGGGCGAUUACAGGCUUCCUUGUCGCCGUGGUGACGAGACUGUUGUGUGGAGAGCCGUUGUUAAGCCUUCCUGUGAUCCUGCAUUUCCCAGGAUGCACUUUAGAGGACGGCGUUUAUAUUCAGCGCUCUCCUGUCAAGACCAUUUGCAUGUUGUGUGCUCUGGUCUCCAUUCUGAUGUCUUCAUAUGUGGCCUCACUCUUUUUUAACAGGGGGAUCCUUCCUAAGAGGAUGGAUGUGUUCAAAGUGAAAUCACAAGGAGCACUAACAUCAGCAGAUGGCGCCAGACAGGGUGACAGUGAUGAGAAUGAUGAAAAUGAUACAUUUGUAUAAGUUAUAUAAUAUAAUAGUACGUACAUAGUAUGUCUUUAUAAGGACUGAUUUGUCAUUGUUGGUUAUUGCACAUUAUUAUUAUUAUUAUUAUGGAAGGAAAUCAUUUUUGGUUCGGGAUUAUUUGUUGGGCUAUUGUGACAGGCUCCUGCUGGUGGUGUUGCUUCCAUUUUUAGGUCAUAUAGAUUACAUUGUAAAUGGCUGUCCUGUGUAGUCUCAUUCCUGUUUGUCAAGGGGAUCCUUCGUGAGAGGCUGGAUAAGUUUAAGGUGAAAUCCCAGGAACCACCACAACACUUGCCUCUGCACCAAUGCUCGAUACAAGAUGCU